RNAcentral lists this non-coding RNA (149 nucleotides) under Paraburkholderia sp. BL23I1N1. Lineage: Bacteria; Pseudomonadati; Pseudomonadota; Betaproteobacteria; Burkholderiales; Burkholderiaceae. The record is from RNAcentral.
CCAAUUGUUCCGUCAAUCGUAACCUACCGGUGCAUGCUGGGCUGGUAACGGCCUGGUGUGAAGCCACCGGAACAACGUACCCGUUCAUUGAACGACGGCACGCUCGCGAGAGGGUGGCGUUGUCUGCCAGCGUCGAGGCGGAUGGGGUG